GAUGAACGCUGGCGGCGUGCUUAACACAUGCAAGUCGAACGGAAAGGCCCAAGCUUGCUUGGGUACUCGAGUGGCGAACGGGUGAGUAACACGUGGGUGAUCUGCCCUGCACUUCGGGAUAAGCCUGGGAAACUGGGUCUAAUACCGGAUAGGACGAUGGUUUGGAUGCCAUUGUGGAAAGUUUUUUCGGUGUGGGAUGAGCUCGCGGCCUAUCAGCUUGUUGGUGGGGUAAUGGCCUACCAAGGCGUCGACGGGUAGCCGGCCUGAGAGGGUGUACGGCCACAUUUGGACUGAGAUACGGCCCAGACUCCGACGGGAGGCAGAAGGGGGGAAUAUUGCACAAUGGGCGCAAGCCUGAUGCAGCGACGCCGCGUGGGGGAUGACGGCCUUCGGGUUGUAAACUCCUUUCGCUAGGGACGAAGCGUUUUUGUGACGGUACCUGGAGAAGAAGCACCGGCUAACUACGUG
This 468-nucleotide ribosomal RNA is filed under the name uncultured bacterium. RNAcentral's name for it is "partial 16S ribosomal RNA". It matches the Rfam family "Bacterial small subunit ribosomal RNA", at positions 28 to 507 of the family's 1533-position model. The record is from RNAcentral.